Long non-coding RNA from Nerophis ophidion (straightnose pipefish), 320 nucleotides. RefSeq lists it as uncharacterized. NCBI's taxonomy places the organism in Eukaryota, Metazoa, Chordata, Actinopteri, Syngnathiformes, Syngnathidae. The record is from RefSeq and is a predicted model, not a curated record. The transcript is spliced from 2 exons.
AGGCAAAGAAACAUUUUAGCUUAGCAGAAGGAAUUGGAGCCGACGUGCGAAGUCAUGGAGUCGCUGCACUAAAAGGACACCGUCAUCAAAGAGCCAGAGAAUCUUGUUCAAAAAACGGACUUUCAAGAGCCAGGUUGCCGAGUUGGAAAUUGGUAACAUUUUUAAUUUAAAUAUUGAAGUUUGUAAACUUUUAUUUUCUUCGCCAUUGCUUCAUAUUUUGAGCCUUAGAAGAGCCUUAGAAUAAUUGUGUGCUUGUAUAUAAGGAUGUCUAAUAUAUGAAAAUGUAUUCUUUACUUUUAAUUUGUAAAGUGUUCAAGCAC